AUUGACGCUGGCGGCAGGCCUAACACAUGCAAGUCGAGCGGAUGAAGGGAGCUUGCUCCUGGAUUCAGCGGCGGACGGGUGAGUAAUGCCUAGGAAUCUGCCUGGUAGUGGGGGAUAACGUCCGGAAACGGGCGCUAAUACCGCAUACGUCCUGAGAGAGAAAGUGGGGGAUCUUCGGACCUCACGCUAUCAGAUGAGCCUAGGUCGGAUUAGCUAGUUGGUGGGGUAAAGGCCUACCAAGGCGACGAUCCGUAACUGGUCUGAGAGGAUGAUCAGUCACACUGGAACUGAGACACGGUCCAGACUCCUACGGGAGGCAGCAGUGGGGAAUAUUGGACAAUGGGCGAAAGCCUGAUCCAGCCAUGCCGCGUGUGUGAAGAAGGUCUUCGGAUUGUAAAGCACUUUAAGUUGGGAGGAAGGGCAGUAAGUUAAUACCUUGCUGUUUUGACGUUACCAACAGAAUAAGCACCGGCUAACUUCGUG
This 483-nucleotide ribosomal RNA is filed under the name uncultured bacterium. RNAcentral describes it as "partial 16S ribosomal RNA". It matches the Rfam family "Bacterial small subunit ribosomal RNA", at positions 29 to 507 of the family's 1533-position model. The record is from RNAcentral.